Molecule: long non-coding RNA, 1410 nt
Organism: Perca fluviatilis (European perch)
Lineage: Eukaryota; Metazoa; Chordata; Actinopteri; Perciformes; Percidae
Exons: 6
Source: RefSeq, a predicted model, not a curated record
CAAUUAGUUUUAAGAACUACAAUUAUUAGACAACUCAACUUAAUAUUUUUGGAGACUUUACUAAACAACUUAAAAGAACGAGUAAGUGGGUAGGACGUGACGUCAUUUCCUAACGGUUCUGGCUCAGAGAGCCGACACCAGGGAUGUGGCAUGGCGGGCUCAGCUACUCCACGGUCUUACUGGACUCCACCGACAAUACCUCAAAUGGAAAACAGCAGAAAAAGAAAAUAUGAGAGAAACUGGAGCGACAGGAAGGCGUGUGUGAGAAAGAGGGGAGGACACCAGCGAAGGACAGCAGGCCAUAUUUGAACUUAGGUCACAGCGUAAAGGACUGAGCCUCACAGGACACGAUCCACUAGCUAUCGAGGCUCCCUAGCUUUUAUUCCUCUUUAAGGUCAACGCAGAGUUUCAACAAAUCACCACCAUAAAUCUUGAGGCAAAAUUCAUGUCAAUUUUGGACCUUCAUUCCCCUAAACUCCUUUCCAGAGAGAAACAUCGUGCAGAAAUGAAUAUUUCCUACAGAGUGGAAUUUCCAUUCAGAAAACCAUAGAAGUCAUCCGAUCAAUCAUCAAUGAUCAAUCAUCAAUCACCUUGGUGAAGAUGAUCAAAGAGUUUGAGGUGAUGGCUGUGUACCUGUUCCGGAAUAAAAGUGGACAGGUCAAUGAUGUUGGGAUCGUCAUUGAAGGUUCCAUUGUACUCAACCAUCUUGGGGAUCUUAGCAGAUCCUGUUGCUUCCUGCUAGCACUGACCCUAUGCUUUGGAUCUGAAAUAUCCCAAAACUCAUGAAUACAUUUUUGAGUUUGCUUGUGGAAGUGGAUUCCGGAAACCUUUCAGCAAAGGUGCAAAGACUGAAACAAUGUGGUCAUAUAGGUUGCUGAGAGGCAGCUGUUCAGAUGAGAAAAUAUGUUUUAUUUAAUCAGACAAUCUCCAGGUGUGGUCAGGCUCAAAGUGUUGGACAGAUUUCAAUUCUUAUAACAAGAAUGAAUUUAUUACGCUUUAUUUUUCCAUGUCUUUGGGUGUAAACACAUUUACAACAUAAGUUCCUUAUGACUGGGCCAUUUAGUUGUUUAUUCCUUUUAAAACAUUGCUCUGGGUUGUCCUUUUAUAUUCGAAGUAGAUGUGUAUAAAAUCAGUGUCUCACCCUGCCUGCAGACUGUAAUGUGUUGUGUAAAUGUAGAAUGCUAAAAGAUGACUACAGUAUUUUUUGAGUGUAAAUGAUUGAUACCCGAUGGCCGGAGUCAAGUUUUUGCAUCUAACAGGUUCAGAUUGUUAUAAGUGUCUAGCGACAUUGUGAAUAGGAUACCUUAUGCACUUCUCACUUAUUUGCGCUAUACUUUGUCAUUGAUGUUGCUACUAGUGUUUCACAUGUGCAUGCAUUGCAAUCAAAUAAAACGUUCAUGUUUUGUGAGA